GACAGAGGAUGCAAGCGUUAUCCGGAAUGAUUGGGCGUAAAGCGUCUGUAGGUGGCUUUUUAAGUCUGCCGUCAAAUCCCAGGGCUUAACCCUGGACAGGCGGUGGAAACUACCAAGCUGGAGUACGGUAGGGGCAGGGGGAAUUUCCGGUGGAGCGGUGAAAUGCGUAGAGAUCGGAAAGAACACCAACGGCGAAGGCACUCUACUGGGCCACAACUGACACUGAGAGACGAAAGCUAGGGGAGCGAAUGGG
Molecule: ribosomal RNA, 253 nt
Filed under: uncultured bacterium
Lineage: Bacteria
Description: partial 16S ribosomal RNA
Rfam family: Bacterial small subunit ribosomal RNA
Source: RNAcentral